ACAUCGAAAGCUUGCUUUUGAUGGGCGUCGACCGGCGCACGGGUGAGUAACGCGUAUCCAACCUGCCCACCACUUGGGGAUAACCUUGCGAAAGUAAGACUAAUACCCAAUGAUAUCUCUAGAAGACAUCUGAAAGAGAUUAAAGAUUUAUCGGUGAUGGAUGGGGAUGCGUCUGAUUAGCUUGUUGGCGGGGUAACGGCCCACCAAGGCGACGAUCAGUAGGGGUUCUGAGAGGAAGGUCCCCCACAUUGGAACUGAGACACGGUCCAAACUCCUACGGGAGGCAGCAGUGAGGAAUAUUGGUCAAUGGACGAGAGUCUGAACCAGCCAAGUAGCGUGCAGGAUGACGGCCCUAUGGGUUGUAAACUGCUUUUAUAAGGGAAUAAAGUGAGUCUCGUGAGACUUUUUGCAUGUACCUUAUGAAUAAGGACCGGCUAAUUCCGUGCCAGCAGCCGCGGUAAUACGGAAGGUCCGGGCGUUAUCCGGAUUUAUUGGGUUUAAAGGGAGCGUAGGCCGGAGAUUAAGCGUGUUGUGAAAUGUAGAUGCUCAACAUCUGCACUGCAGCGCGAACUGGUUUCCUUGAGUACGCACAAAGUGGGCGGAAUUCGUGGUGUAGCGGUGAAAUGCUUAGAUAUCACGAAGAACUCCGAUUGCGAAGGCAGCUCACUGGAGCGCAACUGACGCUGAAGCUCGAAAGUGCGGGUAUCGAACAGGAUUAGAUACCCUGGUAGUCCGCACGGUAAACGAUGGAUGCCCGCUGUUGGUCU
This 767-nucleotide ribosomal RNA is filed under the name uncultured bacterium. RNAcentral's name for it is "bacterial SSU rRNA". It matches the Rfam family "Bacterial small subunit ribosomal RNA", at positions 68 to 829 of the family's 1533-position model. The record is from RNAcentral.